GUGCUCGCUUCGGCAGCACAUAUACUAACAAUGGACGAUCUAGAGAAGAUUAGCACGGCCCCUGCGCAAGGAUGACACGCAAAUUCGUAAAGUGUUCCAUAUUUUG
RNAcentral lists this small nuclear RNA (106 nucleotides) under Octodon degus (degu). Lineage: Eukaryota; Metazoa; Chordata; Mammalia; Rodentia; Octodontidae. The record is from RNAcentral.